RNAcentral lists this ribosomal RNA (253 nucleotides) under uncultured bacterium. RNAcentral describes it as "partial 16S ribosomal RNA". It matches the Rfam family "Bacterial small subunit ribosomal RNA", at positions 524 to 776 of the family's 1533-position model. The record is from RNAcentral.
UACGGAGGGGGCAAGCGUUACUCGGAAUUAUUGGGCGUAAAGGGCGCGUAGGCGGUCUUGUGCGUCGGAGGUGAAAUCCCCGGGCUUAACCCGGGAGCUGCCUCCGAUACGGCAGGACUUGAGUCCGGGAGAGGAGAGCAGAAUUCCCAGUGUAGCGGUGAAAUGCGUAGAUAUUGGGAGGAAUACCAGUGGCGAAGGCGGCUCUCUGGACCGGUACUGACGCUGAGGCGCGAAAGCAUGGGGAGCAAACAGG